GAUGAACGCUGGCGGCGUGCCUAAUACAUGCAAGUCGAGCGAACGGACGAGAAGCUUGCUUCUCUGAUGUUAGCGGCGGACGGGUGAGUAACACGUGGAUAACCUACCUAUAAGACGGGGAUAACUUCGGGAAACCGGAGCUAAUACCGGAUAAUAUUUUGAACCGCAUGGUUCAAAAGUUAAAGACGGUCUUGCUGUAACUUAUAGAUGGAUCCGCGCUGCAUUAGCUAGUUGGUAAGGUAACGGCUUACCAAGGCAACGAUGCAUAGCCGACCUGAGAGGGUGAUCGGCCACACUGGAACUGAGACACGGUCCAGACUCCUACGGGAGGCAGCAGUAGGGAAUCUUGCGCAAUGGGCGAAAGCCUGACGGAGCAAUGCCGCGUGAGUGAUGAAGGCCUUCGGAUCGUAAAACUCUUUUAUUAGGGAAGAACAUCUGUGUAAGUAACUGUGCACAUCUUGACGGUACCUAAUCAGAAAGCAACGGCUAACUACGUG
Molecule: ribosomal RNA, 497 nt
Filed under: uncultured bacterium
Lineage: Bacteria
Description: partial 16S ribosomal RNA
Rfam family: Bacterial small subunit ribosomal RNA
Source: RNAcentral